This 634-nucleotide ribosomal RNA is filed under the name uncultured Microgenomates group bacterium. RNAcentral describes it as "bacterial SSU rRNA". It matches the Rfam family "Bacterial small subunit ribosomal RNA", at positions 600 to 1248 of the family's 1533-position model. The record is from RNAcentral.
UCUANGGGCCCAACUCCAAGGCUGUAUCCGAAACUGAAAACUAGAGUCUUUCAGGGGCAUGCGGAAUUCUGUGUGUAGGGGUAAAAUCCGUAGAUACACAGAGGAACACCAAAAGCGAAGGCAGCAUGCUGGGAAAGUACUGACGCUCAUGGACGAAAGCGUAGGUAGCGAACGGGAUUAGAUACCCCGGUAGUCUACGCCGUAAACGAUGGAUACUAGUUGUUGGAGGGCUCGACCCCUUCAGUGACGACGCUAACGCAUUAAGUAUCCCGCCUGGGGAGUACGAUUGCAAGAUUAAAACUCAAAGGAAUAGACGGGGACCCACACAAGCGGUGGAGCACCUGGCUUAAUUCGAUAAUGAGCGAGGAACCUCACCUGGACUUGACAUCUAGAGAAUUUCCUAGAAAUAGGAAAGUGCCUUCUGGAACUCUAUGACAGGUGCUGCAUGGUUGUCGUCAGCUCGUGCCUUGAGGUGUUCGGUUAAGUCCGUAAACGAGCGCAACCCAUGUCCUGUGUUGCAUUUUUCACAGGAGACUGCCGAUUCCAAGUCGGAGGAAGGUAUGGAUGACGUCAAAUCAGCAUGGCCCUUAUGUCCAGGGCUGCACAGGUGCUACAAUGGCUGGUACAAUGGGUA